UUUCCGGUUGAUCCUGCCGGACCUGACUGCUAUCGGAUUGAUACUAAGCCAUGCGAGUCCUUGCAGUAAUGCAAGGCAUACGGCUCAGUAACACGUAGUCAACUUACCCUAUGGACGAGGAUAAUCUCGGGAAACUGAGCAAAAUACUCGAUAGAUCAUAAUGCCUGGAAUGGUUUAUGGUUGAAAUGAUCGCCAUAGGAUGGGACUGCGGCCUAUCAGCUUGUUGGUGAGGUAAUGGCCCACCAAGGCGAUUACAGGUACGGGCUCUGAGAGGAGAAGCCCGGAGAUGGGUACUGAGACAAGGACCCAGGCCCUAUGGGGCGCAGCAGGCGAGAAAACUUUGCAAUGUGCGAAAGCACGACAAGGUUAAUCCGAGUGAUUUCUGCUAAAGAAAUCUUUUGCAAGUCAUAAAACCACUAGUGAAUAAGGGGUGGGCAAGUUCUGGUGUCAGCCGCCGCGGUAAAACCAGCACCUCAAGUGGUCAGGAGGAUUAUUGGGCCUAAAGCAUCCGUAGCCGGCUCUGUAAGUUUUCGGUUAAAUCCAUGUGCUCAACGCAUGGGCUGCCGAAAAUACUGCAUAGCUAGGGAGUGGGAGAGGUAGACGGUACUCGGUAGGAAGGGGUAAAAUCCUUUGAUCUAUCGAUGACCACCUGUGGCGAAGGCGGUCUACCA
Molecule: ribosomal RNA, 671 nt
Filed under: uncultured archaeon
Lineage: Archaea
Description: bacterial SSU rRNA
Rfam family: Archaeal small subunit ribosomal RNA
Source: RNAcentral